CUCCGUAAUUCGAAUGAGUACAAUUUAAAUCCUUUAACGAGGACCAACUGGAGGGCAAGUCUGGUGCCAGCAGCCGCGGUAACUCCAGCUCCAGAAGCGUAUAUUAAAGUUGUUGCAGUUAAAAAGCUCGUAGUUGGAUCUGGGUUGCAUGGCUACAUGCCGUCGCUUGUGUGUUCGUUGCGGUUACUGCCGUGGCGGGCAUAUGAGUCGGUCUCGUGGUUGUGCUUCCUUUCUGCUGUGUCUGUUUACAGGUGUCAGCGUGGCUGGUGGGUUCGCCUGCCGGUCUGUUGGCAUGCUUCUUGAUGCCUUUAACCGGGUGUCGGAGGCGGACAGCACGUUUACUUUGAACAAAUCUGAGUGCUCAAAGCAGGCCUUUGUGCCUGAAAGUUCUUGCAUGGAAUAAUGGAAUAGGACUUCGGUUCUAUUUUGUUGGUUUUCGGAUCCGAAGUAAUGGUUAAGAGGGACAGACGGGGGCAUUUGUAUGGCGGUGUUAGAGGUGAAAUUCUUGGAUCGCCGCCAGACAAACUACAGCGAAAG
RNAcentral lists this ribosomal RNA (537 nucleotides) under Petasiger phalacrocoracis. Its description in RNAcentral is "SSU rRNA". It matches the Rfam family "Eukaryotic small subunit ribosomal RNA", at positions 501 to 951 of the family's 1831-position model. Lineage: Eukaryota; Metazoa; Platyhelminthes; Trematoda; Plagiorchiida; Echinostomatidae. The record is from RNAcentral.